AAUAUUGCACAAUGGGCGGAAGCCUGAUGCAGCGACGCCGCGUGGGGGAUGACGGCCUUCGGGUUGUAAACCUCUUUCGACAGGGACGAAGUGAAAAUGACGGUACCUGUAUAAGAAGCACCGGCUAACUACGUGCCAGCAGCCGCGGUAAUACGUAGGGUGCGAGCGUUGUCCGGAAUUACUGGGCGUAAAGAGCUCGUAGGUGGUUUGUCACGUCGUCUGUGAAAUUCCGGGGCUUAACCUCGGGCGUGCAAGCGAUACGGGCAAUACUUGAGUGCUGUAGGGGAGACUGGAAUUCCUGGUGUAGCGGUGAAAUGCGCAGAUAUCAGGAGGAACACCAAUGGCGAAGGCAGGUCUCUGGGCAGUUACUGACGCUGAGGAGCGAAAGCAUGGGUAGCGAACAGG
This 405-nucleotide ribosomal RNA is filed under the name uncultured bacterium. RNAcentral's name for it is "partial 16S ribosomal RNA". It matches the Rfam family "Bacterial small subunit ribosomal RNA", at positions 360 to 776 of the family's 1533-position model. The record is from RNAcentral.